AACGAACGCUGGCGGCAUGCCUAACACAUGCAAGUCGAACGAGACCUUCGGGUCUAGUGGCGCACGGGUGCGUAACGCGUGGGAACCUGCCCUUAGGUUCGGAAUAACUCCCCGAAAGGGGUGCUAAUACCGGAUAAUGUCUUCGGUCCAAAGAUUUAUCGCCUUUGGAUGGGCCCGCGUUGGAUUAGCUAGUUGGUAGGGUAAAAGCCUACCAAGGCGACGAUCCAUAGCUGGUCUGAGAGGAUGAUCAGCCACACUGGGACUGAGACACGGCCCAGACUCCUACGGGAGGGAGCAGUGGGGAAUAUUGGACAAUGGGCGAAAGCAUGAUCCAGCAAUGCCGCGUGAGUGAUGAAGGCCUUAGGGUUGUAAAGCUCUUUUACCCGGGAUGAUAAUGACAGUACCGGGAGAAUAAGCGCCGGCUAACUCCGUG
Molecule: ribosomal RNA, 433 nt
Filed under: uncultured bacterium
Lineage: Bacteria
Description: partial 16S ribosomal RNA
Rfam family: Bacterial small subunit ribosomal RNA
Source: RNAcentral